This 1290-nucleotide long non-coding RNA is filed under the name Macaca fascicularis (crab-eating macaque). Its description in RNAcentral is "lncRNA (ENSMFAG00000052678.1)". The record is from RNAcentral. Lineage: Eukaryota; Metazoa; Chordata; Mammalia; Primates; Cercopithecidae.
AUGGCGGGGCCGGGCCCGGGGCGCCCGGAACGCCCGCACCGCCCCGGGGGCUUCGGUCCGGCCCGGACGGACCCGGGGAUGCGAGCCCCGCCUGCUGAGGGGCGCGGCGCAGGGAACAGGGCCCGCGCCUCGGGAACUGCGCAGACUCGCGGGGUUCGGGGAGACCGAGGACGGGGCGCGGUCCGGCCCGCGCCGCUCAGGGCAGCUUCAAAACGGGCGCGUCCCAAACAACGGCGCCCGCGUUCACGUCACUGCGCCGCGUCAUCGCGACGACGUCAUCACCGGGCGACGCCGCCGCUGGCCCCGCGCGCGCACCGCGGCCCUCGGAGCCUUUGCAGGAGGCUUUGGUGGGGCCAAGCGGCUGUCAGGACGGAGGAGGGCUGUGGCGGCCGUCCCGCCCGAGCCCUUUCUGCGUUUAGGAAUUUAAGAGCCUCUGCAGCCCACAGGGCCCCACGUUGUGAGGUUCACACACCUGCAGCUGCUCAGAAGUGCAAACUCACCCCCUGCAUGACGUGCUCUGGAUAUCAGUCGGCCUUCGCACCGCAGCCCUGGGUGGUUGAUCGAACGCUAAAGCUCCAGACCUGGAGAUGCCCCAGAGGAAGCGCCUGGCAGGUGUAGGAUCUCCCUGGUCCUGGGCUGGCCCAAAGCUCCCAGCUAGGCGUAUGCAGUGAGAGGUCAAACAGGGAUCAAGUUUAUAUCUGCUGCUUGCAUUCCGCAUGAUGACUUAAAAAAAGGAAAAAGAAAGAAAGAAAGAAAUCCUGGCCGGGCGCGGUGGCUCACGCCUGUCAUCCCAGCACUUUGGGAGGCCGGUAAGGCGGAUCACGAGGUCUGGAGAGCGAGACCAGCCUGACCAACAUGGUGAAACCCCGUCUCUACUAAAAAUACAAAUGUCAGCCGGGCGUGGUAGCAGAUGCCGGUCAUCCCAGCUACUCGGGAGGCUGAGGCAGGAGAAUCGCUUGAACCCGGGAGACUGAGAUUGCAGUGAGCUGAGAUCAUGCCAUUGCAGUCCAGCCUGGGCGACAGAGCGGGACUCUGUCUCAAAAAUAAAACAAAACAAACAGAAAUAAUCUGUGUUUCUGUCAGUUGACUCCAAAGCAGCCACAAAUGCGUGUAAGUUUGAUGUAAAGUCAGUUUUCUCUCAAAGUAGCUAUGAGUUUUGUGUGAAGGUUCUUUUCUUUUUCUCCGUUUUUUAUUUUUUAUUUUGGAGACAGAGUCUCGCUCUGUCGCCCAGGCUGAAGUGCAGUGGCGAUCUCAGCUCAAUCAAUUUCCUCCCGGGUUCCAUCUCUGCCU